GCCGGGCGUGGUGGCGCGCACCUGUAGUCCCAGCUACUCAGGAGGCUGAGGUAGGAGGAUCACUUGAGUCCAGGAGUUCUGGGCUGCAGUGCGCUAUGCCAAUCGGGUGUCCACACUAAGUUUGGCAUCAAUAUGGUGACCUCCCGGGAGCAGGGGACCACCAGGUUGCCUAAGGAGGGGUGAACCGGCCCAGGUUGGAAACGGAGCAGGUCAAAACUCCCGUGCUGAUCAGUAGUGGGAUCGCGCCUGUGAAUAGCCACUGCACUCCAGCCUGGGCAAUAUAGUGAGACCCUGUCUCUU
RNAcentral lists this signal recognition particle RNA (300 nucleotides) under Cavia porcellus (domestic guinea pig). RNAcentral describes it as "Metazoan signal recognition particle RNA". It matches the Rfam family "Metazoan signal recognition particle RNA". Rfam says of the family: The signal recognition particle (SRP) is a universally conserved ribonucleoprotein. The record is from Rfam by way of RNAcentral. Lineage: Eukaryota; Metazoa; Chordata; Mammalia; Rodentia; Caviidae.